This 397-nucleotide ribosomal RNA is filed under the name uncultured bacterium. RNAcentral describes it as "partial 16S ribosomal RNA". It matches the Rfam family "Bacterial small subunit ribosomal RNA", at positions 523 to 918 of the family's 1533-position model. The record is from RNAcentral.
AUACGUAGGAGGCGGGCGUUGUCCGGAAUGACUGGGCGUAAAGGGCGUGUAGGCGGCGGUGUAAGUCUGGAGUGAAAGUCCCGCAUUCAAUGUGGGAAUUGCUUUGGAUACUGCAGUGCUAGAGUGCGGAAGAGGUAAGUGGAAUUCCCAGUGUAGCGGUGAAAUGCGUAGAGAUUGGGAGGAACACCAGUGGCGAAGGCGACUUACUGGGCCGUAACUGACGCUGAGGCGCGAAAGCGUGGGGAGCGAACAGGAUUAGAUACCCUGGUAGUCCACGCGGUAAACGAUGAAUGCUAGGUGUUGCGGGUAUCGACCCCUGCAGUGCCGGAGUAAACACAAUAAGCAUUCCGCCUGGGGAGUACGGCCGCAAGGUUGAAACUCAAAUGAAUUGACGGGG